Molecule: ribosomal RNA, 480 nt
Filed under: uncultured bacterium
Lineage: Bacteria
Description: partial 16S ribosomal RNA
Rfam family: Bacterial small subunit ribosomal RNA
Source: RNAcentral
AUGCACGCUGGCGGCGUGCUUAACCCAUGCCAGUCGAACGAAGCACUUUAUUUGAUUUCCUUCGGGACUGAUUAUUUUGUGACUGAGUGGCGGACGGGUGAGUAACGCGUGGGUAACCUGCCUUGUACAGGGGGAUAACAGUUGGAAACGGCUGCUAAUACCGCAUCAGCGCACAGCAUCGCAUGAUGCAGUGUGAAAAACUCCGGUGGUAUAAGAUGGACCCGCGUUGGAUUAGCUAGUUGGUGAGGUAACGGCCCACCAAGGCGACGAUCCAUAGCCGACCUGAGAGGGUGACCGGCCACAUUGGGACUGAGACACGGCCCAAACUCCUACGGGAGGCAGCAGUGGGGAAUAUUGCACAAUGGGCGAAAGCCUGAUGCAGCGACGCCGCGUGAGCGAAGAAGUAUUUCGGUAUGUAAAGCUCUAUCAGCAGGGAAGAUAAUGACGGUACCUGACUAAGAAGCACCGGCUAAAUACGUG